RNAcentral lists this ribosomal RNA (253 nucleotides) under uncultured bacterium. RNAcentral describes it as "partial 16S ribosomal RNA". It matches the Rfam family "Bacterial small subunit ribosomal RNA", at positions 524 to 776 of the family's 1533-position model. The record is from RNAcentral.
UACGUAGGGUGCAAGCGUUGUCCGGAAUUAUUGGGCGUAAAGAGCUCGUAGGCGGUUUGUCGCGUCUGCUGUGAAAACCCGAGGCUCAACCUCGGGCCUGCAGUGGGUACGGGCAGACUAGAGUGCGGUAGGGGAGAUUGGAAUUCCUGGUGUAGCGGUGGAAUGCGCAGAUAUCUGGAGGAAUACCGGUGGCGAAGGCGGCAUCCUGGACCGACAUUGACGCUGAGGAGCGAAAGCUAGGGGAGCAAACGGG